UACAGAGGGUGCAAGCGUUGUUCGGAAUCACUGGGCGUAAAGCGCGCGCAGGCGGGUGGGCAAGUCGGAAGUGAAAUCUCGCCGCUCAACGACGAGGCUGCUUCGGAUACUACCCAUCUAGGGACCGGUAGAGGCUGGUAGAAUUGCAGGUGUAGCGGUGGAAUGCGUAGAUAUCAAGAGGAACACCUGAGGUGAAGACGGGUUGCUGGGCCGACACUGACGCUGAGUGCGCGAAAGCCAGGGGAGCAAACGGG
RNAcentral lists this ribosomal RNA (254 nucleotides) under uncultured bacterium. RNAcentral describes it as "partial 16S ribosomal RNA". It matches the Rfam family "Bacterial small subunit ribosomal RNA", at positions 524 to 776 of the family's 1533-position model. The record is from RNAcentral.